This 124-nucleotide ribosomal RNA is filed under the name uncultured bacterium. RNAcentral's name for it is "partial 16S ribosomal RNA". The record is from RNAcentral.
CCGGGGUUUCUUUACCAGGUACUGUCAUUAUCAUCCCUGGCGAAAGAGCUUUACGACCCUAAGGCCUUCAUCACUCACGCGGCAUCGCUAGAUCAGGCUUGCGCCCAUUGUCUAAGAUUCCCCA